CGGACGGGUGAGUAAUGCAUAGGAAUCUGCCCAGUAGUGGGGGACAACUCGGGGAAACUCGAGCUAAUACCGCAUACUUCCUACGGGAAAAAGACUUCGGUCGCUAUUGGAUGAGCCUAUGUCAGAUUAGCUUGUUGGUAGGGUAAUGGCCUACCAAGGCGACGAUCUGUAGCUGGUCUGAGAGGAUGAUCAGCCACACUGGGACUGAGACACGGCCCAGACUCCUACGGGAGGCAGCAGUGGGGAAUAUUGGACAAUGGGCGAAAGCCUGAUCCAGCAAUGCAGCGUGUGUGAAGAAGGCCUGAGGGUUGUAAAGCACUUUCAGUAGGGAAGAUAAUGACGGUACCUACAGAAGAAGCACCGG
RNAcentral lists this ribosomal RNA (364 nucleotides) under uncultured Pseudomonadota bacterium. Its description in RNAcentral is "bacterial SSU rRNA". It matches the Rfam family "Bacterial small subunit ribosomal RNA", at positions 99 to 496 of the family's 1533-position model. The record is from RNAcentral. Lineage: Bacteria; Pseudomonadati; Pseudomonadota.